This 1443-nucleotide ribosomal RNA is filed under the name Mucispora infundibulata. Its description in RNAcentral is "Mucispora sp. YJ-2018a partial small subunit ribosomal RNA". It matches the Rfam family "Eukaryotic small subunit ribosomal RNA", at positions 81 to 1099 of the family's 1831-position model. The record is from RNAcentral. Lineage: Eukaryota; Fungi; Ascomycota; Sordariomycetes; Fuscosporellales; Fuscosporellaceae.
GCGAAACUGCGAACGGCUCAUUAUAUGAGUUAUAGUAUAUUUGAUACUGCUCUUUUCCAUGGAUAACCGUGGUAAUUCUAGGGCUAAUACAUGCUGAAAAUCCCGACUUCGGAAGGGAUGUAUUUAUUAGAUAAAAAACCAGUGCCCUUUGGGCUUUCUGGUGACUCUGGAUAACUAAACAAAUCGCAUGGCCUUGUGCUGGCGAUGGCUCAUUCAAAUAUCUUCCCUAUCAACUUUCGAUGGUAGUAUCUGGGACUACCAUGGUGAUAACGGGUAACGGAGGGUUAGGGCUCGACCCCGGAGAGAUAGCCUGAGAAACGGCUUUCACAUCCAAGGAAGGCAGCAGGCGCGCAAAUUACCCAAUCCCAAUUCGGGGAGGUACGUUUUAACCUGUAAUUCUCGACUUUUUCGAGGAAACACACGCUAACAUUACUUUGCUUUAUAGGUAGUGACGAUAAAUACCGAUACAGGGCUCUUUUGGGCCCUGUAAUUGGAAUGAGUACAAUUUAAACCUCUUAACGAGGAACAACUGGAGGGCAAGUCUGGUAAACUUUUGCAGUUUCAUUUUCUGCUGGUGCCAGCAAGAGUGGGAAGGGCGAACCCCUAGGGGUCGCACUUUCUAACCCGCUAGUCGAGCAUCCAUCACCCGGGCGGGGGGAUGCCGGCGAGACAACCUGGAUCGGGGAAGGCUAAGGGGCAAUGCCCUAUGCUAAUCUCGAGCAGAGCACCCUGGGAGCGAUCCCGGGCAGUUGCCUGUGUAGAGCGCGCAAAGGUGUCGGCCACGCUGCAGUUGACUGCAGCUGGCUUAAGGGACGCGCCGUCCCCCGCGAAAGCGGGUUCCUGCCUAGAACGCCCGCCACGUAAAGGGCAGGAAGCUACGGGAUGCGUUCAGCAUUUUCGGUAGUGGUCAUCAAACGGCCAGCAGCCGCGGUAAUUCCAGCUCCAGUAGCGUAUAUUAACGCUGCUGCGAUUAAAAAGCUCGUAGUCGGACCUUGGGCCUGGCCGGUCGGUCCGCCUCACCGCGUGUACUGGCCGCGCCGGGUCCUUCCUUCUGCGGAUACUCAUGCCCUUUACUGGGCGUGUUGGGGAUGCAGGACUUUUACCUUGAGAAAAUUAGAGUGUUCAAGGCAGGCCUAUGCUCGGAUAUUCCAGCAUGGAAUAAUAUAAUAGGACGCUGGUUCUAUUUAUUGGUUUAUGGAGCCGUCGUAAUGAUCAAUAGGGACGGUCGGGGGCAUCCGUAUUCAAUCGUCAGAGGUGAAAUUCUUGGACCGAUUGAAGACGAACUACUGCGAAAGCAUUUGCCAAGGACGUUUUCGCUGAUCAGGAACGAAAGUUGGGGGAUCGAAGACGAUCAGAUACCGUCGUAGUCUCAACUAUAAACUAUGCGAAUUAGGGAUCGGGCGAUGUUAAUUUUCGACUCGCCCGGCACCUGAGGGAGAAAUC